RNAcentral lists this ribosomal RNA (329 nucleotides) under uncultured eukaryote. Its description in RNAcentral is "partial 18S ribosomal RNA". It matches the Rfam family "Eukaryotic small subunit ribosomal RNA", at positions 1470 to 1796 of the family's 1831-position model. The record is from RNAcentral.
CCCUUAGAUGUUCUGGGCCGCACGCGCGCUACACUGAUGCAUUCAACGAGUUUAUAACCUUGACCGAGAGGUCUGGGUAAUCUUUUGAAAGUGCAUCGUGAUAGGGAUAGAUUAUUGCAAUUAUUAAUCUUGAACGAGGAAUUCCUAGUAAACGCAAGUCAUCAACUUGCAUUGAUUACGUCCCUGCCCUUUGUACACACCGCCCGUCGCACCUACCGAUUGAAUGGUUCGGUGAAAAAUUCAGACUGUAACUUCGUCUUCUUAAUUGAAGACGUUGCCGCGGAAAGAUUUUUAAACCUCAUCAUUUAGAGGAAGGUGAAGUCGUAACA